This 328-nucleotide unclassified non-coding RNA is filed under the name soil metagenome. RNAcentral describes it as "partial contains 5.8S ribosomal RNA, internal transcribed spacer 2, and large subunit ribosomal RNA". The stretch from base 1 to 119 matches the Rfam family "5.8S ribosomal RNA", at positions 35 to 154 of the family's 154-position model. The record is from RNAcentral.
GAUGAAGAACGUAGCGAAAUGCGAUAAGUAAUGUGAAUUGCAGAAUUCAGUGAAUCAUCGAAUCUUUGAACGCACAUUGCGCCCCUUGUAUUCCGAGGGGCAUGCCUGUUCGAGCGUCAUUAUAACCCCUCAAGCUCAGCUUGGUGUUGGGGCCUGCUGCACUGGCAGCCCUUAAAAUCAGUGGCGGCGCCGUCUGGCUCUAAGCGUAGUAAUUCUUCUCGCUAUGGAGUCCUGGUGGAUGCUUGCCAUCAACCCCCAAUUUUUCUAUGGUUGACCUCGGAUCAGGUAGGGAUACCCGCUGAACUUAAGCAUAUCAAUAAGCGGAGGA